Molecule: non-coding RNA, 974 nt
Organism: Serinus canaria (Common canary)
Lineage: Eukaryota; Metazoa; Chordata; Aves; Passeriformes; Fringillidae
Source: the annotation of a RefSeq genome assembly
CAGGGACCGUCAAUCGUGAUCUCCAAGAUCCCAGCCCGAUCCCCUGUCCCCCAACCCGGCCCCGCCGCUUCCGACGUGCAGAGAGCCGAGCGCCGCCCCGCACCCCCCGCGCUCGCCUCCCCUCCGUUCCCUGCCAGGACUCGGCGAGAGCCCGAGCGGCAGCGGCGCAGGGCUCAGCCCCGGGGCGGAGCUGGCGGCGGCCCAGAGGAGGCGGCCCGGCCGCAGCAGAGCCGGGGCUCAGGGCCACAGCGAGGAUCGGCCGGCGGAGCGGCGGCAUGCGGCGGUAUCGGGGCGCGGGGCUGGUGGCGCUGGCCGCGCUGCUGCUCGUGGCGUCUGGCAGAGCCCAGGUACAGCAGGAGACAUUCCUGGAGACCACCGAGAGCACCGGCAUCAACAUCACCUGUUCACACCCGCAAAAAGUGAGCGGCGAUUACAUCCAUUUCUAUCGUCAGCUGCCGAGCCGAGCACCCGAAUUCCUGGCACUCGCUGCUAGAGGCUCCAAGGACGUGCCGGACAUUGCGGGAAAGCUGUCGGUGUCGGAGGACGGGCGUUCGAGCGCGCUGUGGCUCGCUGGGCCCCGGCGCGGGGACGCGGCCGUGUAUUACUGCGCGCUGGCGGCCACGGCCAGACGAGCCGGGGCUGCGGCCGGGCACGAACCGCCGCGGGCGGGGCCGGCCGGGGCCAGCAGGGGGCGCUGCCGCUCCGCCCGCCGCCCUCCCGGGCCGCUGCCGGCACCAGAACCGGCACCGGCAAUGGGAUCAUGACCGGCACGGACACCGGCACCGACACGAGCACCGUCAUUGAAACCGGCAUUGACACCGAAACCCAUACCGGCACCGGUAACGGAAGCUCCAGCUUGGAAUCACCCACCAAUCUCAUUACCUCUUCUCAGCGCUGGCUUAAGGAGCUUUUGCCCCAACUGCCUGAUCUCCCUCGCACCAACCCCAUCCAGUCCCAGUGUCCUGUAAAACACC